GAAAAGUUAGCUAAUAUAGUAUUGAUUUUGUAAAUCAAAGAUUUUUUCUUUUCG
Molecule: transfer RNA, 54 nt
Filed under: Xiphinema rivesi
Lineage: Eukaryota; Metazoa; Nematoda; Enoplea; Dorylaimida; Longidoridae
Description: tRNA-Thr
Source: RNAcentral